Molecule: long non-coding RNA, 2176 nt
Filed under: Homo sapiens (human)
Lineage: Eukaryota; Metazoa; Chordata; Mammalia; Primates; Hominidae
Description: HSALNT0364271
Source: RNAcentral
CCUUUUCUUGAGACCCAGAGCUCAUUGCUUGUCAGCUCUUUGUUCCUUAUCCACCACCCCUCAAGCUGAGGAACAGACACAGUGUGGGAUGUGAGGGUUGGGAGUGGGCAAAGUGAUAAUGAGUUUGAUUUUGAGAAUGUUGCCAUUGAGGCAGCUGGCACAUCCAGCUAGAGGAUAGUUCUGGAGUUAUCGGGAGAGAUCUGAACUAUUGAUCAAUGAAUGUGGGAAUCUUAUACAUAUUCGUAGUAUAUUUGUUAGGAAUUACAUUUAGUUACUAGAAGAAACUUUCUUGUCAAAGACCAGAAGGAACGGUGGCUUAAACCAGAUGGAAAUGUAUUGUGCUUCACAUUAGUGGGCUGGUGCGUUGGUAUCAUGGUAUUUUUCAGGGACCAAGGAACCGAUCUAUCUUUCUGCCUCACCAUUUUAGUAUGUAUCCUCCACCUUGGAUUUGUCUUAUAAUUGAAUAUCGCUGCUAGAGCACCAGGCAUCAUCUUUGCAUUCCAGACAGAAAGCAGGAAAAAAAGGUGGAAGGUUUUUUAAAAAAGAAAAGUGCUUAUGCCUACAGCUGUCUACCUUCUUUUUAAGUCCUACCUGAUAACUUCUAUGUACACAUUGUAAGGGAAAUGGCUGCACUUUAGUCAGGAAUAGGCUGAGGCAGCCUUCUGGCACAGCAUGAUUCACUGGGUUUGGAGCACAGGUGCACUCUCAAAACACUCUCAUAAAAAACACCUGGGGCUUCCUGCGAGCUGGCCUGGGCUUUCGUUACUGCCUCCCCUGCUCAUGAUGGGUAUUUACAUAUCCUUAGACCCUCAGCUAGAACAAGCUGCACCUGAGAUCAGUCUCCAGUGGCGUUUUGGUCCGGGAAAGGCCCUGACCUGUGGCCACACAUUAUGUAACCAUGCCACGUGAAGUGCAUUAGGUGAUCACUCACAUGAGUCUGUGCCUGGCUUAGAGACACUGUUGUCUACAAAAGGUAUAAUUACCCUGCUAGCGGCUAUACAUAGGGCUUGUGCCCAGAAAGAGGAUAAAGCCAUAUCAAAACUCCCUACGAUUCCUGUAGUGUUUUUCCAGCUACUCCCCCACCGACUCCCCUCGGACCUCAGUUUGGGAUAGAACCUGACAAUUGGUGUCAUGAACAGGAUCCUGAGAUUUAGAAGCAGUGGCGUCCCUCUUGCGGCAACAUUUAGCAGCAUGUGGUUGGGCCGUCAACGAAUCCAAGGUCCAAGGUCCUGGAUUAUCUGCCAGAUUCUUGGGAGUUAUCUGGUCAGGCUCCAGUUAGUAGUUGCUGCCUAGGAGAUGAAGUGAAUUUCACAAGAAAGACAUAAGAAGCCAACAACUGAUUUGGAAUGAUCUGAGAGACUGACACAAAAAUGGUGAGUGAUUUCUCCGAGCUACCUAGAAGAAGCAAUGUAAAAACCAUUCUGGAGUGACACUAUUUCAACACAGGCUGUAAAAAAGACCCUGAUAUAAAGUCUUAGUGAAAAUAAACUCAUAAUAAAAAAUGUAAAGCUCCCCCCAAAACAAUCUACUAUGAACAAGAAUUAAUAGGCAAACAUACACAUACAAAUGGCAGUAUUAGAUUCCUAAACCCUUUAGAUAAUGACACAAUGCAAUGGAAGCUAUAAAAUAUGUAUUUUAUAAAUAGUGUUUUUAUUUAAAAACAAUAUUAGAUUUACAAAAAAAUUGUAACUAUAGUACAGAGAGUUUAUCUAAACCCACACUCAGUUUCUUCUAUUAUUAACAAUUUGCUAUAAUUAAUGAACCAAUCUGUCUAUAUUAUUACUAUUAGCAUUAUUAAGUAAAGUUGAUACUUUGUUCAGAUUUUCUUAGUUUUUACCUAAUGUCUUUUUGUGUUCGAGGAUCUCACCCAAGAUACCACAUUACAUUUGGUUGUCAUAUCUCCUUAACCUCCUCUUGGCUGUGACAGUUUCUCAGGCUUUCCUUGUUUUUGAUGACCUUGACAGGUUUUUAGAUAUACCGGUCAGGUAUUUUAUAGAAUGUCCCUAGGAUUUGUCAGAUGUUUGUCUCAUGAUUAGAUUGGGCUCAUGUUUUUGGGGAGAACACUACAGAGGUAAAGUACAUUUUCAUCACAUCAUACCAGGGGCACAUAUUAUCGUCAACAUCACUUAUCAGUAUUAAUAUUGACAUUAAUCACUGGGCUGAAGUAAUGUUUGUC